Molecule: long non-coding RNA, 2233 nt
Filed under: Gallus gallus (chicken)
Lineage: Eukaryota; Metazoa; Chordata; Aves; Galliformes; Phasianidae
Description: long non-coding RNA NONGGAT007301
Source: RNAcentral
GAGGCGAGGCUGGGUGAGCCCACACUGCAGAGGCUGAGGUGGACACCAGCUCUUGGGUAUGCACUCACCCCUCUCUCUCACUCACUGAUGCUUUUUGCUACACCAUAUGCAGUGUGGGACGAUGAAAGGCUGUGCCCUGGCAUCUGGAAAGUUUGCUGCUGUGCGAUGCUCAGCCUGGGCUGGGUGGUGCCACACCUUCACCACAGGUAGGACAGGAUGGUACAGAAUUCAAAUACAGAUUUGGAAGUGAUCACUGGCAGAAAAAAACUCCCAGAUGAUGCUUUUGUCGUAUUUCCAGAACUGCUAAUCUCCUCCUGACUUCCAACACUGCAAGUCAUAUUUGAAAAGCAAGUAAACUGUGACUUAUUUCCCUUUAACAAAGCUUUUUCUUUUGUAUAUGCAGAAUACCACAUCAUGGCCUUACUUGACCACUCAGAUUUAUAACUUCAUAACACAGAAACCUAAAUCCAAGAUUGCAACCAACCACAAAACAAAUUUGUAAGAAAUAACACACAAAAAGCCCACACAAUAUUAUUCUCAAGGCUUUUGAAACAACUUCUUAAUGCAAGACUAAAACAAACCAGACAAUUCAAGGCUUGAGGGUCUUGGUCUUUACUCCAUCCCACACUACAGCAACCCACAACAAAAAGUUUCAGUUGGGCAGAGUUGCUGAAAGCAGCAGCUCAGCACAGGUGUCUCUACAAACACACUACCCAGUGGUGUAACUUGACAACAUAAUGGCUUUCAGAUCCCACAUCAAGGCUAAGGAAAAGCUUUUCUGCAACCUGAAGGCACUGAGUAUUACUAAAUCGUGUCUCGUGACAUUGCUUUUAAAUACAUGAACUGGUGUCCUACAUAUGUUCUACAUGCCACAAUAAUGCAAACCUUUAUUAUGAAGGAAGGUCUGGUGACACUAUUUCAAAUUCAAAGUGUUGCUGGUUCUUCAGAGCACUGUUUGAGUCACAAAUCUAGCUUUAUUCUGGGAUCAAAAGCCUUCCUCACUCUCCUUUAAAAGCAGUCAGUGGAAUGGUUACAGAUAUGGCUUUGCCUGGGAGCACUGUAGUGCCCCUUACAUAUCUUACCAAACUUACAGACUUUCCUAGAAGAAAAAAGAAAAAGAAACCUCCACAGUAGGCACCAUUAAUAUUAGGAAAAUAAAGCUAUACAUUCUGAUGAAUUUCCAAGAGUGUUCUGUAAGCUACUGAUCCUUGUUUGAGGUAUAUUCCAGAAGAGCCUUCAUACUUUCGAGUUUGCAUCACUGCAAUGACUGUUGAAGAUGUAACAUAAUUAAAAACUGAUGCAUGCCUACUACUAUCCAUUUUCAGAAGACAGACUUCUUCUCACUUCCAAAAAAAACCCAACUUUGCUUAAAAAACAACAGAUAAACCAACAAAAACCACAACAGCCAUAGUAUCAUACAAAACAGUUAAGAUAAUCUGCAAAUCGGAGCAGGCUCUUGAAGCUAAAACCCUCACCAGCAUGUAAAGACAGAGUCAUCCCAAAUUAGCUCAUCUUCUGUUUUGACCUUUAUCUGGGGCAUCUGUUGAUUCUUUAUGCGCUUUCUUCUCUGUUUCUUAGCAGGUUUUUUUUUAAGCCUUCCAUCUUUAUUAGGUCUUGAUUUCUUCUCAUUUACUAAGUCUAUGUCAAGUUUAAUUCGCUUUCGUUUCUCUCGUUCUUUCUCCAAAUCUGCACCUUCACUAUCUUCCUUUCUUUUCAGUUUUGAGUCCUCUUCCUUACACUUCAACUCUUCACUAACGUAUUUUUUCUCCUUAGUAUAUUCUACCUGAAGGUCCUGUUCUUCUCUAUAGGAGAUGCUAAACGUUUCAGCAAGGACAAGUUUGCAAUACUCUUUAGAUUCUACAGCUGACAGACCAAAGCCAUCUGUGAUGGCAGCUGCCCCAAACGCUUGCCCUUCUAUACAGUGUGCUGUGUUAUACUGACAAUUUGGUGCAUUUUCUAGUGCACACUCACAAGCUGAUGAGCAGUUUGGUGAUCUCUUUUUCCCAAUAUUUGGAAGUGUCUGGGUUUCUGAAAAAAGGCUGGAAUGCUGGUUUGGUUUGCAUUUAAAGGCUGAAGGCUUAACCUCAUCAAAGUUUCCAUCCUGAAACUCUUCUGCUAUUCUCAAAUCCAUUCUUUCCUCAAGAUGUGUAGCUUUCUGACCUUGAAAGGAGUAGUAAGUUUUCCUUGAUCUCUUUGUGAGACUGCGAAUCUUUGUUGCUCUGCAUAAACUGGA